This 254-nucleotide ribosomal RNA is filed under the name uncultured bacterium. RNAcentral's name for it is "partial 16S ribosomal RNA". It matches the Rfam family "Bacterial small subunit ribosomal RNA", at positions 524 to 776 of the family's 1533-position model. The record is from RNAcentral.
UACGGGGGGAGCAAGCGUUGUUCGGAUUUACUGGGCGUAAAGGGCGCGUAGGCGGCCAGUGCAAGUCAGUUGUGAAAUCUCCGGGCUUAACUCGGAAAGGUCAACUGAUACUGUGCGACUAGAGUGCGGAAGGGGCAACUGGAAUUCUCGGUGUAGCGGUGAAAUGCGUAGAUAUCGAGAGGAACACCUGCGGCGAAGGCGGGUUGCUGGGCCGACACUGACGCUGAUGCGCGAAAGCCAGGGGAGCGAACGGG